GGACGAACGCUGGCGGCGUGCUUAACACAUGCAAGUCGAGCGGUAAGGCCCUUUCGGGGGGUACACGAGCGGCGAACGGGUGAGUAACACGUGGGUGACCUGCCCUCAGCUCUGGGGAUAAGCCUGGGAAACCGGGUCUAAUACUGGAUAUGACUCCAUGACGCAUGUUGUGGGGUGGAAAGCCUUGUGCGGCUGAGGAUGGGCCCGCGGCCUAUCAG
This 218-nucleotide ribosomal RNA is filed under the name uncultured bacterium. RNAcentral describes it as "partial 16S ribosomal RNA". It matches the Rfam family "Bacterial small subunit ribosomal RNA", at positions 27 to 244 of the family's 1533-position model. The record is from RNAcentral.